RNAcentral lists this transfer RNA (69 nucleotides) under unidentified. Its description in RNAcentral is "Exostira schroederi tRNA-Gln". The record is from RNAcentral.
UAUAUUUUAGUAUUAGAUGUACAAAAGCUUUUGAUGCUUUAGGGGGCAGUUUAAAUCUGUUAAAUAUAA